This 253-nucleotide ribosomal RNA is filed under the name uncultured bacterium. RNAcentral describes it as "partial 16S ribosomal RNA". It matches the Rfam family "Bacterial small subunit ribosomal RNA", at positions 524 to 776 of the family's 1533-position model. The record is from RNAcentral.
UACGUAGGCAGCAAGCGUUGUUCGGAUUCACUGGGCGUAAAGGGUGCGUAGGUGGCCAGGUAAGUCUGAUGUGAAAUCUCGGAGCUCAACUCCGAAACUGCAUUGGAUACUAUCUGGCUGGAGGGUCGGAGGGGGGACUGGAAUUCUCGGUGUAGCAGUGAAAUGCGUAGAUAUCGAGAGGAACACCAGUGGCGAAGGCGAGUCCCUGGGCGGCCCCUGACACUGAGGCACGAAAGCGAGGGGAGCAAACAGG